Drosophila elegans is the source of this 584-nucleotide long non-coding RNA. RefSeq lists it as uncharacterized. NCBI's taxonomy places the organism in Eukaryota, Metazoa, Arthropoda, Insecta, Diptera, Drosophilidae. The transcript is spliced from 3 exons. The record is from RefSeq and is a predicted model, not a curated record.
UCACUUCCUUCAUGGUCCUUGGCUCAGGCAUCCGCCUAAUAGCUGCUACACGCCCUGGAUCCAUCCGCAGACGUCCUCCACCCACUAUGAAGCCGAGAGUCCGAAAGGCAUCACACGGAACUGGUAAAGAGGCCGACCAGGAACCGUAAAGGCUGUGUAUUCCUUGCUGCCCGUGUCCAACUCAAUCUGCCAUAAAGCGAACUUCAAAUCCACGCUGGAAAUGUAGUACGUUUGGUCAAUUCUGGACAGAAUGCCGUCUAUGCUGGGCAACGGAUCUUGAUACUACGGUGGUGCGGUUGCUCCAGGGGCUUUUGCUCUCCUCGAUGACUCCGAGCGCUAGCAUCUUGUCGACCUCGUCCUCGACCACCUUCUGCUUCGCGGGAGACAUCGGAUAGGGUCGAUCCUUGAACACAUUGGCUCCGUCCAUCAGCUCAAUAGUGUGCUUCUCCAGACUGGUGGUACCUAAGCCAUCCCGCUCGAAAGUCAAGAACUGCUGCUUGAUCUCCUCCAGCUCUUGUUCCUCGGCCUUGGAAAGCGUCCAGGACUCGGGAUCGGUUUUCUCCUCAUCGUCAUCCUCGACCUCA